Molecule: long non-coding RNA, 708 nt
Filed under: Medicago truncatula (barrel medic)
Lineage: Eukaryota; Viridiplantae; Streptophyta; Magnoliopsida; Fabales; Fabaceae
Description: lncRNA gene10557
Source: RNAcentral
UGGGGCUAUUUUCCAAAAUAAUUAUGUCAAAAUAUUUCUUGAUGAGAAGCAAAUCAAGUGGCGGAUGCUUGGGAUAGAUCAAGCUUAUCCAUAGCAUCCGAUCCGUCAGUCCGUCACUUGAUUUUCUUCUCGAAGAUUGGGAGAAUUUAAUUGAAGCAACUUGCGUUGCAAGGUUCUUAAUAUCACCGACCAAUCCAUAACAAGGAUGCGUUCUCGAACAAUCACUCUCAAUAAGACUAAUCGCGGUUUGAGAUAAAAAAAACUGUAGUAAUUGAUCGGCUCCCAACGUAUUCCAAAUCGUUUUGGUAAAUACACGGUCACGAAACAUAUGCAAUAAUGAUUGAGAAUAAUUAUUACAAGCUGGACAUAAAUCACUAUCUGUUAGUUUUCGUCUUGCACGCUCCGUGUUAGUGAGAAGUACUUAGUGUGCCAACUUCCAUAACAAACAUUGCAAUCUCUUGGGGACCUUCCAAUUCAAUAUCUUCGAAAAUAGUGUCACACAUUAUGCACAUUCUGGACCUGCAAAAUUUUGCAGUAUGCCAUAAAAACAAGGGUUUUUACAGCUACAUGCAACAACCUGAUGAAUUUAAUUUUGUUGUUUUUUUAGAACUUGGAUGAUCAUUUGUAAAUAUCAUUCUAAGGCUUGUAAUCAAUGAGUAGAGCGCGAUUUCAAAGUGUUUAGGCUAUAAAUAGGCUUAGCAUUGCCUU